RNAcentral lists this long non-coding RNA (654 nucleotides) under Sorghum bicolor (sorghum). Its description in RNAcentral is "long non-coding RNA (SBIC_LNC013287)". Lineage: Eukaryota; Viridiplantae; Streptophyta; Magnoliopsida; Poales; Poaceae. The record is from RNAcentral.
CUACAACGCCAAUGUUGACUGGGUUGUCAAUGGCAAGGUGUGCAGUGGUGCGGUUCUUGGUCAGCAGCGGUGCGUCGAUGGACUCAUCAGACCUCAUCGAUUGGCUUUGUUGGUUUUUUUUUGUUUUCUUAUUAACAGUGACGAGCAUACAACACCAUCUUUAGAAACGGUGAUUAACAUGGACAUUGAAUUAAAGGUGACUGACUGAAGACCUCUGUUAACCCUUUGUGACCAACUAUGCAAAUAAUUAUUAGUGGACAAACCAAUUCAUCAUCUGUGAUGAAUGUAACCAUCUAGAAAUUUAUAUUGUAGCUGGUGUGCAUGCACUAGGCAUUAUUAAUUGAGUAUUUAAAUUUGUUAUUUGGAUUUAGCUUGUAGAAGUUGUUUCACAGGCUCCAGAUAUUUUUGCACGAUUUUUCUACAUCCCCAAACAUUUUUAUUUUAUUUUUAAAGUGUUUGUUUUUUCCAUUUAAAUUUGAAAUGUGGCCACAUCAGCACUAAGCUGAUUUGAGCAGAUGAAACUUGAGGGGCUUGUAGGUGCCGUAAUUACAACAUCACUCACCUGGCAGCCCCUCAAGUCCCUCCACAGUAAAAGAUACAUAAAGCUAAAACAACUUACAAUUUAGGAUGGAGUAAGGAUUUAAGUUGCGGGCU